ACGCUUUUUACUUUAGCUUGCUAGAGUAGAAGGAGUUGCGAACGGGUGAGUAACGCGUAGGUAACCUACCUACUAGCGGGGGAUAACUAUUGGAAACGAUAGCUAAUACCGCAUAAGAGUUUUUAACACAUGUUAGAAGCUUGAAAGAUGCAAAUGCAUCACUAGUAGAUGGACCUGCGUUGUAUUAGCUAGUUGGUGGGGUAAAGGCCUACCAAGGCGACGAUACAUAGCCGACCUGAGAGGGUGAACGGCCACACUGGGACUGAGACACGGCCCAGACUCCUACGGGAGGCAGCAGUAGGGAAUCUUCGGCAAUGGGGGCAACCCUGACCGAGCAACGCCGCGUGAGUGAAGAAGGUUUUCGGAUCGUAAAUCUCUGUUGUAAGAGAAGAACGUGUGUGAGAGUGGAAAGUUCACACAGUGACAGUAACUUACCAGAAAGGGACGGCUAACUACGUGCCAGCAGCCGCGGUAAUACGUAGGUCCCGAGCGUUGUCCGGAUUUAUUGGGCGUAAAGCGAGCGCAGGCGGUUUAAUAAGUCUGAAGUUAAAGGCAGUGGCUUGACCAUUGUUC
Molecule: ribosomal RNA, 573 nt
Filed under: uncultured bacterium
Lineage: Bacteria
Description: bacterial SSU rRNA
Rfam family: Bacterial small subunit ribosomal RNA
Source: RNAcentral